AUGACUAAUUCUGCACGCCGUCGCCGGAAAUCUCCAAGCUUUGAGACAACUAACUAUGAUGAAAGUUGUAGCGUCGACAUGAGUGAUACUGAUGUUUCCUCUCAAUCAAAAUCAACCAGGAAUAGCCAUAGAAGAUCUCCGAGGAAACUUAAGAGAGCAGCUUCCCCCGAAGUUAAGCAGACAAUCAACUGGAAAUGUGAUCCAAACAAGAUACGCGCCACUAUAAAAAAACUAUGUCCAGAACAGCUACAAUGGAUAGAAGAAUUGGGAUUUGGAUCACUCAUUCACAUGAUUGAGUGCAAGUUACCCAGAAAGCUAACUAUAUGGCUGAUGAAAAGAGUAGACUGCAAUAGCAAGUGUCUAGUAUUCAGAAACAGGAAGGUUUCUAUAGUAAAAGCUGUUGAAAACCUGUUGAAGUUACCCGCUCUUGACAAAGCAGUUCCAAUGCCCCGUCCAGGUAGGGUUCGUGACAAACCUUUCAGAGGUAAAACUGAAUUCAAGUCUGCUACGGCCGGAAGAGGAGAAUCACUCAAGGAAGCGACAGACAGGAUGUUAAUGUAUAAAGAGGAGAAAGACAAGGACAAGUUUUGCUUGUGUUUCAUGCAAGUCAUUCUUUGCGCCUACUUAGCUCCGACGACUGGUUACCAAAUUAAUAGAAGUUACCUGCUAGGAGCUUUGAAGGACUUGAGCUACAUCCCUCGUAUGAAUUGGUGUCGUUUUGCUGCUGAGUACCUUAUCGAGGCAAUCAAUGAAUCAAGGGAAAACAAAGUGCCCAACCUGAAUGUGGGUGGAUGCGUACAUAUUCUACAUCUCAUAUAUGUGGAUCUACUUCAAUCACAUUUAGUCAAAAUACCUCAGGGUUACCCAAGGAUUAAAUAUGUGGGUUCAGCAGUACUGGAACAAAUAGAUCAUACUGGAAAAAAGAAGACACAAGACCAUUGCAAGUUGUUUGAGAGCUUACUGGAUGAUGAAAAGUUAGCAAUGUUCCCUACUGUAGAAGACCAUAAUGAUGAUCUUGAUGAUCACGAAAAAUCUACACAUUCCACCCAACCAGUAACAGUUAAUAUAAGUACUGUACCUGGCCAGGAGAAACAUAUACUUCCUCCACAAGUAGUACAAGUUUCUAAAAAGCGGCUGUCACAUCAAGCUACAGAUGAGAAUUUGAUAAAACGGAUAAAGAUUCUUGAAGACCAGUACACAGCCGAUCGACAAAGGUUGAUAACUGUGUCUGAACGAAAGCUUCAAAACAAACUGCAACAACUUCAAAUUAAGAAAACCAAGGAAAUGGCAGCCUUGGUCCAGGAAGAGAUUCAGAAGGCUAUGUUACCGAUGAUUGAUGAUGCACGUCCAGGAAGUUCUCUGCACAAUGAUGAUGCAACUUUGACGAAAUGA
Molecule: ribosomal RNA, 1392 nt
Filed under: Triticum aestivum (bread wheat)
Lineage: Eukaryota; Viridiplantae; Streptophyta; Magnoliopsida; Poales; Poaceae
Description: partial small subunit ribosomal RNA
Source: RNAcentral